This 382-nucleotide long non-coding RNA is filed under the name Salmo salar (Atlantic salmon). RNAcentral describes it as "lncRNA (ENSSSAG00000106614.1)". Lineage: Eukaryota; Metazoa; Chordata; Actinopteri; Salmoniformes; Salmonidae. The record is from RNAcentral.
UUGGCAGAGAGGUUUGGAACUCUGUUAUUGGCAGAGAGGUUUGGAACUCUGUUAUUGGUCGAGAGGUUUGGAACUCUGUUAUUGGCAGAGAGGUUUGGAACUCUGUUAUUGGUCGAGAGGUUUGGAACUCUGUUAUUGGCAGAGAGGUUUGGAACUCUGUUAUUGGUCGAGAGGUUUGGAACUCUGUUAUUUGUCGAGAGGUUUGGAACUCUGUUAUUGGCCGAGAGGUUUGGAACUCUGUUAUUGGCCGAGAGGUUUGGAACUCUGUUAUUGGCCCGAGAGGUUUGGAACUCUGUUAUUGGUCGAGAGGUUAGGAACUCUGUUAUUGGCAGAGAGGUUUGGAACUCUGUUAUUGGCAGAGAGGUUUGGAACUCUGUUAUUG